UCCGAUAUAGUGUAACGGUCAACAUAGCCGGUUUUCAUCCGGCAGCUCGGGGUUCGAUUCCCCGUAUCGGAG
This is a transfer RNA of Talaromyces islandicus, 72 nucleotides long. It matches the Rfam family "tRNA". Rfam says of the family: Transfer RNA (tRNA) molecules are approximately 80 nucleotides in length. Their secondary structure includes four short double-helical elements and three loops (D, anti-codon, and T loops). Further hydrogen bonds mediate the characteristic L-shaped molecular structure. tRNAs have two regions of fundamental functional importance: the anti-codon, which is responsible for specific mRNA codon recognition, and the 3' end, to which the tRNAs corresponding amino acid is attached (by aminoacyl-tRNA synthetases). tRNAs cope with the degeneracy of the genetic code in two manners: having more than one tRNA (with a specific anti-codon) for a particular amino acid; and 'wobble' base-pairing, i.e. permitting non-standard base-pairing at the 3rd anti-codon position. The record is from Rfam. Lineage: Eukaryota; Fungi; Ascomycota; Eurotiomycetes; Eurotiales; Trichocomaceae.